GCCUGGGAAGCUCGAUGGUUAGCACGUCGAGCUAGCAACCCGGGGCUCACGGGUUCGAAUCUCCGUCUCGGAAG
Molecule: non-coding RNA, 74 nt
Organism: Acanthoscelides obtectus
Lineage: Eukaryota; Metazoa; Arthropoda; Insecta; Coleoptera; Chrysomelidae
Source: the annotation of a GenBank genome assembly